UGAUUUGAACCCAGCCGUCUGUCCUCAGAGUCUCUGCUGUCACCUGCCUCGUGGAUAAACCAGGGAGCACCCAUACAGAGAUGUGAACCACAACAAGGAAUUAUACUAGCGACAUGGACAAAGACUAUUUACACUGGAGAACAACAGGGAGGACAGGCCUACCCUUGUGAUCUCCAGCGACUCAACCCCAAGACAGAAAGCGGCAGGUUGGUGGCCGGCCUGCCCCUGGGACUGACCCUCCACAUCUGGGUCUCAUUCUGCAUCAGCAGGACACCAGUCCAGGCCAAGGCACACAGCCAGCUGGGACUCUGCCUUGAAAAACCAGAUGGACUUGCUGCGAGAUAAAGAAGAAAGCACUGGCUGUGAAGGAGAGCCUUGGCACUGACCCCAUCUGGACAUGUAGCACGAGAGAUAUAUCAAUGACAGUAUCAAUUUUGACUGAUUUUACAGACAAAACACCUCCAAACUCAUUUUCUUCUUUAAGCCUGCUGAAGGGUAGUAUGAUCAAUGAAAGACUUUCAAGCACAAAAUUAUCUUGCAUCAGGGUGAAGCUUUACGGAAGAAAUGGAAUGGAACUAUGUUUCCAAGGAGAAAAAGAAAGGCUAUGCGAGCAAAAUGGUGUGGAGACUCUGGAAUUGGCACAGUUCGAGGUCCAGGGAGGCCCGAGCUGGCCUGGCCUCUGAGGCUGUAUUUAUACGGAAUGACAGUGGGCUUCUGGCAGCAAGCAUGUGCCAGUCCAGCUGGGCCUCAUGGGGGGAACCUGAACCUGUCACGUUCUCGGUCACCGUCUUGGAGCCAUGAUGGUCAGCAACACGGACGGACCUAGAGAGUGGUAUACCGAGAGAAGCAAUAUCACGUGACAUCCUUUACGUGUGGAAUCUAAGAAGAAAUGAUACAAAUGAACUUACAAAACAGAAACAGAUUCACAGACUUCAAGAAUGAGCUUAUGGUUGCCAGCGGGAAGGGCAUCCCAGGGACCGUAGCCCACCAGGCUCCUCUGUCCAAGGGAUUUUCCAGGCAAAAUACUAGAAUGGAUUGCCAAUUUCUUCUCCAGGGGAUGGUCUCAACCCAGGGAUCGAACUCACAUCUCCUGCAUUACUGGCAUUACAUCC
This is a long non-coding RNA of Bos taurus (domestic cattle), 1112 nucleotides long. Lineage: Eukaryota; Metazoa; Chordata; Mammalia; Artiodactyla; Bovidae. The record is from Ensembl.